UGGGAAUGGCCGGAGCGUCUGAGGGCAGAGUUGGCUGCAGAGUCUAUACAAAAGUAGCUUUGAUUUACUGUCAGAACCUAGAAACCAACUUGCUCUCAAUUUAGUGUUCUUAGUAUUAUUUUUUGACUUUAACCUAGAAAGCACUUUUAAACGUUAUGGAAUUAAAUGACUUUUUUUGGUCCAGCCACAAGGAACUGAUAUGAACAAGGGAGAUAUUAUUUUAUGUAAUGGAAGCCACAGUACCUAGCACAA
Molecule: long non-coding RNA, 252 nt
Filed under: Pan troglodytes (chimpanzee)
Lineage: Eukaryota; Metazoa; Chordata; Mammalia; Primates; Hominidae
Description: long non-coding RNA NONPTRT013483
Source: RNAcentral